UACGUAGGAUGCAAGCGUUGUUCGGAAUUACUGGGCGUAAAGAGUACGUAGGCGGUCUGGCAAGUCUGACAUUAAAGACCGGAGCUCAACUCCGGGACUGUAUCGGAAACUGCCAAACUAGAGGACAAUAGAGGAAGUCGGAAUUCUCAGUGUAGCGGUGAAAUGCGUAGAUAUUGGGAAGAACACCAGUGGCGAAAGCGGACUUCUGGGUUGUUACUGACGCUGAGGUACGAAAGCGUGGGGAGCAAACGGG
RNAcentral lists this ribosomal RNA (253 nucleotides) under uncultured bacterium. Its description in RNAcentral is "partial 16S ribosomal RNA". It matches the Rfam family "Bacterial small subunit ribosomal RNA", at positions 524 to 776 of the family's 1533-position model. The record is from RNAcentral.